Molecule: long non-coding RNA, 1140 nt
Organism: Cygnus olor (mute swan)
Lineage: Eukaryota; Metazoa; Chordata; Aves; Anseriformes; Anatidae
Exons: 4
Source: RefSeq, a predicted model, not a curated record
CAUAAAUUUGAAUUGCUGUGAAUAUUCUGAAGUGACAUACCCACGAAUAAGGCGUCUCCCAGCUGACAAGGACCUCACCAGUAAAUGUGCUGGACAGGGGACUCCAGGGUGAUGCCACUUCUGACUUUCCACAGGCUUACCAAGGAUUAGCAAACUUCAUGUGGAUCUCAGCCGAAGAGUUUCUAAAAGAAACUUCAAAAAUUCCAAGACGUGAAGAAUCACCUCAGAGAGGCUCUGGUGCGGUUUCCAAAUGAGCUUUGGAACAUUGCUGCUAGCACCAAGUUGCGCGUCAGAUGGGGGAGAGAUGCUUUGCCGGGGUCAGCUCUACCCCUGUCCCGAUGCUGAAGGUCCUCUACCCCUGCACACCCUUCCCGGCCCCAACCCCUGGAUCUGAGGAAAGGCUGUGGCACAGUAUGUGGACUCCGAUUACAUCUCCAAACAGGAGGAACACGCAAUCGGUGGGAGACGCCUGCUUUCUAGCCCCUUUGUGCUCAGGGGCAGAAAUACAAAUAAGCCUCAAUGUCUUUUUCCUGCUUAUGUGCGCAGAGAUCCGUUUUUCAAUAGCAGGCUCCGGCAGAUAAGUAUUCCCUUUGCCUGGGGAAAUUUUCCUUCUCCCCGCCAUCCGGCCCCAUCGCUUGUGUUGUCUCAGGGAGAGCGGGACCAUAAACUUUACGAGCGAGUUUUCCCUCUUAAAUGAAUUACAUAACAGAACCACUGCUUACAGCUGGUGUUGUGUCAGAAACAGACCACAGAAAGAAGCGGGUAGGAAUGGCAACAAGCCUCCUGACAAGCCACGGCAGGGCCCAGGCACCACAGGCCGCAGCCGCACCCCCUUUCACCCGUGCUGCACGUAACGCCACGCGCCACGUCAGACAGCAACCCAGAGCCCGUCCGAAACAAAACUCCCGGCACAGGAGCAAUUGCCUUUUCUCAUAAACUCACCCAAAGGGCUAUUUUUAAAAUUGAUCUUUCCAAAUAGCAUUAAGUGACAAAUCCAGCUCUGCGUACACCCAACAAGUGUGGGGAGGUCCUGCAGACAGCUCAUAGUAUGAAGACUCAGACUUGAACUUUAUCAUUUUAUUGCACUUGGAGAAUUUCCUGGGUAUUUUCUAGGUUACUUCCUUAUUACUGGGUCAAAAC